RNAcentral lists this ribosomal RNA (482 nucleotides) under uncultured bacterium. RNAcentral describes it as "partial 16S ribosomal RNA". It matches the Rfam family "Bacterial small subunit ribosomal RNA", at positions 28 to 523 of the family's 1533-position model. The record is from RNAcentral.
AAUGAACGUUGGCGGCGUGGAUUAGGCAUGCAAGUCGUGCGAUAACCGUAGCAAUACGGCGAAAGCGGCGAAAGGGAGAGUAAUGCGUGGAUACCUACCCCCAGGUCCAGGAUAGCCGCGGGAAACUGCGGGUAAUACUGGAUGACGUCUCCGGACCAAAGGUGUGAUUCCGCCCGGGGAUGGGUCCGCGUCCUAUUAGCUUGUUGGCAGGGUAAUGGCCUACCAAAGCAAAGAUGGGUACGGGGUGUGAGAGCAUGCCCCCGCUCACUGGGACUGAGACACUGCCCAGACACCUACGGGUGGCUGCAGUCGGGGAUCUUCGGCAAUGGGCGCAAGCCUGACCGAGCGACGCCGCGUGCGGGAUGAAGGCCUUCGGGUUGUAAACCGCUGUCAGAGGGGAGGAAAUGCCGGUGGGUUCUCCCAUCGGUUUGACCUAUCCUCAGAGGAAGGACGGGCUAAGUUCGUGCCAGCCGCCGCCGUAA